RNAcentral lists this ribosomal RNA (253 nucleotides) under uncultured bacterium. RNAcentral's name for it is "partial 16S ribosomal RNA". It matches the Rfam family "Bacterial small subunit ribosomal RNA", at positions 524 to 776 of the family's 1533-position model. The record is from RNAcentral.
UACGAAGGGGGCUAGCGUUGCUCGGAUUGACUGGGCGUAAAGGGCGCGUAGGCGGUUCGUACAGUUGGAUGUGAAAUUCCUGGGCUCAACCUGGGGGCUGCAUUCAAUACGUGCGGGCUUGAGUUCGGAAGAGGGUCGUGGAAUUCCCAGUGUAGAGGUGAAAUUCGUAGAUAUUGGGAAGAACACCGGUGGCGAAGGCGGCGACCUGGUCCGAUACUGACGCUGAGGCGCGAAAGCGUGGGGAGCAAACAGG